Molecule: non-coding RNA, 388 nt
Organism: Peromyscus maniculatus bairdii (prairie deer mouse)
Lineage: Eukaryota; Metazoa; Chordata; Mammalia; Rodentia; Cricetidae
Source: RefSeq, a predicted model, not a curated record
UGCUUUGUCUUCCUGCAGGGACUACCAGGAAGACACCAACCCAAGCCUCCACCUCCAUAGACCAGGAGAAGCAGAUGACAAAGUUGGAGAAACUAACCCUUCAGCUACAGAGUACAACAUAGGAGCACAUUGAACUGCAUGGAAUCCUGGGCAGUUAUAUAGACAAGGAUUUGCAGAACAGGCUGAAUUCUUUUGAAAUCAUGAAAAAGGAGCAUAAGCAGGUGAUGCUGGACUUACAGAAAAUGCCAGUGGAAAUAUGUGACGGUGUGAAGAAGAUCAAACAGCUGAUUGAAGAGAAUGUAUCCUACAGGAGCAAGAGAGCCUGGAUGAAAGACCGAAGGACCUGCUGAAGCAGAAGGAGCUGGUCACCCAGCAAGAGGACUUGGCA